UACGUAGGGGGCAAGCGUUGUCCGGAUUUACUGGGUGUAAAGGGUGCGUAGGCGGCUUUGCAAGUCAGAAGUGAAAUCCAUGGGCUUAACCCAUGAACUGCUUUUGAAACUGCACAGCUUGAGUGGAGUAGAGGUAGGCGGAAUUCCCGGUGUAGCGGUGAAAUGCGUAGAGAUCGGGAGGAACACCAGUGGCGAAGGCGGCCUGCUGGGCUCUAACUGACGCUGAGGCACGAAAGCGUGGGUAGCAAACAGG
RNAcentral lists this ribosomal RNA (253 nucleotides) under uncultured bacterium. Its description in RNAcentral is "partial 16S ribosomal RNA". It matches the Rfam family "Bacterial small subunit ribosomal RNA", at positions 524 to 776 of the family's 1533-position model. The record is from RNAcentral.